RNAcentral lists this transfer RNA (74 nucleotides) under Nitzschia inconspicua. It matches the Rfam family "tRNA". Rfam says of the family: Transfer RNA (tRNA) molecules are approximately 80 nucleotides in length. Their secondary structure includes four short double-helical elements and three loops (D, anti-codon, and T loops). The record is from Rfam by way of RNAcentral. Lineage: Eukaryota; Bacillariophyta; Bacillariophyceae; Bacillariales; Bacillariaceae.
GUCGAUCUAGCUCAGUUCGGCAGAGCGCUCGGCUUUUAACCGUGUGGUCGUGGGUUCGAUCCCCACGGUCGAUG